Molecule: ribosomal RNA, 448 nt
Filed under: uncultured bacterium
Lineage: Bacteria
Description: bacterial SSU rRNA
Rfam family: Bacterial small subunit ribosomal RNA
Source: RNAcentral
UGAGGAAUAUUGCACAAUGGGCGCAAGCCUGAUGCAGCGACGCCGCGUGGGUGAUGAAGGUCUUCGGAUCGUAAAGCCCUUUUCUGCGUGACGAGACAGGACGGUAGCGCAGGAAUAAGUCUCGGCUAACUACGUGCCAGCAGCCGCGGUAAAACGUAGGAGACGAACGUUAUCCGGAGUUACUGGGCGUAAAGGGCGUGUAGGCGGUUUGUUAAGUCUGGCGUGAAAGCUCUCGGCUAAACCGGGAGAGGUCGUUGGAUACUGGCGAACUAGAGGAUGGUAGAGGCGUGUGGAAUUCCGGGUGUAGUGGUGAAAUGCGUAGAGAUCCGGAGGAACACCAGUGGCGAAGGCGACACGCUGGGCCAUACCUGACGCUAAAGCGCGACAGCAUGGGGAGCAAACGGGAUUAGAUACCCUUGUAGUCCCUGAGCGGGCUGGCAAGGCGCAU